GCAAAGUCAGCUGAGGAUCCCCGACCAGGUGCACCCAGCCCGCGUGCCUCGAGAGAUGCUCUCCACCCGGUGUUACGGCCAGCGCCGCGGUCAGGCUGCACUCGGCUGGAUGAGAGGAAAUGGGCAGGCAGCUGCGGAGGGAACCGUACUCACCAGCCCCAGCAGGCAGCGGACCUCGUUGACGGCGCCAAUGCAGCCCAGGAAGCCCAUGAGCAUGGUGACUGCCCCCACGCCGAUGAAGACGUAGGCCCCCAUCCUGAGCGAGCUGGAGGAGGUUUCUAGGGGGAAGAAGCAGCACACUCACUAAGUACAAAAUCAGUGGGCCCAGCAGGACCUGAGGUGCAUGAGGGCAGAAGCUUCGCUUUAUUCCCAGGGAACCCCCAGCUUGAACAGCACCUCUCGCAGUGAGGUGCUGUGCACAGUGAAUGUCUGCAGAAUUGACAGACAAGAGGCUGGCUAGUUCUCCAGGGGCCACUGACAUUAAGAUUCCAAGCUGAUUUUUAACCCGCCUUCCUUCUUGUCCAUAUAAUAACAAACACCAGCCUUUCUUGCCC
Molecule: non-coding RNA, 554 nt
Filed under: Pongo abelii (Sumatran orangutan)
Lineage: Eukaryota; Metazoa; Chordata; Mammalia; Primates; Hominidae
Source: RNAcentral